UGAGGAAUAUUGGUCAAUGGGGCGCGAGCCUGAACCAGCCAAGUCGCGUGAGGGAGGACGGCCCUACGGGUUGUAAACCUCUUUUGCCGGGGAGCAACGGGCGUCACGUGUGGCGCCACUGAGAGUACCCGGAGAAAAAGCAUCGGCUAACUCCGUGCC
Molecule: ribosomal RNA, 159 nt
Filed under: uncultured bacterium
Lineage: Bacteria
Description: partial 16S ribosomal RNA
Rfam family: Bacterial small subunit ribosomal RNA
Source: RNAcentral